AGAGUUUGAUCAUGGCUCAGGAUGAACGCUGGCGGCGUGCUUAACACAUGCAAGUCGAACGAAGCGCAUAAGCGGAAUUCUUCGGGAGGAAGGUUAUGCGACUGAGUGGCGGACGGGCGAGUAACGCGUGGGCAACCUGCCUUACACAGGGGGAUAACAGUUAGAAAUGACUGCUAAUACCGCAUAAGACCACAGCUUCGCAUGAAGGAGUGGCAAAAACUGAGGUGGUGUAAGAUGGGCCCGCGUCUGAUUAGGUAGUUGGCAGGGUAACGGCCUACCAAGCCGACGAUCAGUAGCCGACCUGAGAGGGCGACCGGCCACAUUGGGACUGAGACACGGCCCAAACUCCUACGGGAGGCAGCAGUGGGGAAUAUUGCACAAUGGGGGAAACCCUGAUGCAGCGACGCCGCGUGAGUGAAGAAGUAUUUCGGUAUGUAAAGCUCUAUCAGCAGGGAAGAAAAUGACGGUACCUGACUAAGAAGCACCGGCUAAAUACGUGCCAGCAGCCGCGGUAAUACGUAUGGUGCAAGCGUUAUCCGGAUUUACUGGGUGUAAAGGGAGCGUAGACGGUCUGGCAAGUCUGAUGUGAAAAUCCGGGGCUCAACCCCGGAACUGCAUUGGAAACUGUUAGACUAGAGUGUCGGAGAGGUAAGUGGAAUUCCUAGUGUAGCGGUGAAAUGCGUAGAUAUUAGGAGGAACACCAGUGGCGAAGGCGGCUUACUGGACGAUGACUGACGUUGAGGCUCGAAAGCGUGGGGAGCAAACAGGAUUAGAUACCCUGGUAGUCCACGCCGUAAACG
This 800-nucleotide ribosomal RNA is filed under the name uncultured bacterium. RNAcentral's name for it is "bacterial SSU rRNA". It matches the Rfam family "Bacterial small subunit ribosomal RNA", at positions 8 to 808 of the family's 1533-position model. The record is from RNAcentral.